AAAUUGAAAAACCCAUGUAAAUCCCAGUAUCACUUGCCGCCAAUAAAGCCUGUUAUUCAAGGUUAUCAAAAAGGGUUGCAAGGGCCAACGUAAGAUAUUUUUAUUAGCCGUCUGCAGUCUGGACGCGCGUCAGGCCGUUAACCCCCGAGCGUCCGCCGGCUCGAUCCACCCUCCCUUGCCAUUCUUUUGUCGUGCGCGUUCAUGCCUCCUUGCGAUUGGUUGAAAAUGACGUAGGGCAUAAAGAAAUGGCUAAGCAAACACAGUGCGUAAUAGAUAUCGGCGCGAGGAAGUCUUAAAGAUGGUCGAACGGUGGCAGUAAUGGGAUUUGGCAUCUGAAGCAAGAAUAGCAGGUGACGAGGAGAUCAGAACGACGCGUGCAGUACAUAAGCAACGUCCAGCAUCAGUAACAGGAGCAAUAGCGUCUCUCUAAUCUUAUUCCAGAAAUAAUAUCAAAGCCAAGUGGCAUUGUGCUCGUAUCUCGGUAUUACUGUAUACACGUCUCCUCUCCCUCUUAAGCACGCCAUCUCUUACCGUCUCGUCACCCUCUUAAAACCUUCUUUCCUCUCCUCCCGCUCCCCUCGCCCCUCCCCCCUUCUUCCCCUCCUCUUCUUCAUCCUCGUCUUCUUCCUUUUCUUCUCCCGUGCAUCUACGAGCAGUCGAGAGCAGACGAUUGGUCGCGUGGGUGAACGUUUUACUUGCCGUUUCUGAAGUGGUGGUGGUGGUGGUGGUGGUGGUGGUGGGCUCCCAGGGAAUCCGUGUGGACGACGUAGGUACGGAACGACGAACAGGGAUGCACCGACCUUGGAGGGAUUUUUGCGUCUACCGCUGAGAGUCACUUGCCGCCGACGGACUCGAAGCCUCGCGAGGGGACUCUGCCUCUACGAUCUAGUUGAUCGAAUCGAGGCGUGGGUGACCCGGUGACCUCACCGGCAAAGAGAGAGUACCAGAGUGGCAGCCGGUGAAACUCCUGGGAGCCAACCUCAUCUUCAUCCUAGGAAGAGAAUGGAUCGCUCCUCUGCUUAGGUCCAUUUCUAUUAAGUAUUUCGAGGGCAACUAGAGAGUCUCGACCUAUGGAAUUUCCAAGCACGACUCGUCGUUAUCGUCAUUCGAUUUCCUUUGCCGACCUCGAUCAGCGGGAAUCGGUUAAACGAAACCAGUAAACGUGAAAGAGGCUCUGUAUGUACGUGGGAACAAAAAAUAAAGUCGUGACGUGUAUUCAUGAAAAUUUCAAAAAAAUAUAAUUAUAAAUUAAUUUUAUUUUAUAUAUAUAUAUAUAUGUAUAUGGAUGUAAAAGGAAUGAUUCGACACGACACCAAAUCAUUCUUAUCAUUAGAAUUUUUAUAUCAAGAGCCAAAUCUUUCCAAGACGCGUGAUAAAGAUUCGACCUGGUCUCAUGCAAAAUUGAUAACAACUGUAAUACAUACACCGUAAGCUCGUAUGCGUUUAUAAGACUGGUUACAGCCUUGAAGAUUCUCGACGCGUGAUAAUUCAUCGAAUCAGACUCACGCGUCGCCGAUUAACCUGGAAUUAACGAAGACGUCUCAGGUGCGUUUUAAUUUAAAUUUUUCGAUAACAUUGCUCUCGAUAGUAACGGGUACCGAAUUCAUCGACGCAGAUCAUAAAGGUGCAUAAAAACGCCAGUACAAAUUUUCCAUUUGAUCUCUGUGCCUGGAAACUGUUACGUUCGUUUCGGCAUGCUAGCUAAAUCAAUUUAUAUAAGUACACUCAAAGCAGUUAAGCCUAAUCGUUUAUAACCCAUUAGCUAGAUAUAAUUUUUUAAACGCACGAUUACCCUGAAUCACAUAAAAAUCCAUUCCGAUUGAAAUAAUACGUCAGUUUCGAUCAUAUCUAUGUAUACCAGUCAAAGUUAGCACUUAUAUACAGUUAUACACACACCACAGGGCUAAUUGAUUUUUAUUAAGUCUCUUCGUAGGUGUCUGUGCACGUAAUAGGCCAAGGGUCAAAAGACUGUAAUAGUAAAUGCAAGAAAAGAAUUUCCAAGAGAUUUCUUCUAUAGUUUAACCAUAGAGACGGUUUCGAAAGACGGUUGGAUCGAAUUGCGACAUCCCGCUAGGAACGACAAGCCCGAAAAACCUGAAGUGCAUUCUCAUAGUACCAGCAGCGCCGCCACCCGUGCCUAGGCUGAACGAGAGAGUCGGAACUAGCAGUCGCAACCUACAUAUUCUUUCGGCGCUUGCAUAACCUACAAGCACGAGGGCAACGGACUCACGGAAGCCAACCGUUGAACUGAGUGAACCAAUCGAGCCAACGAAACGAACAGCGUCUAAUCGGUCGAACUGCCGUGCAUAGAGGAACUUGUGAAAGCGUGAGAGCACGUGUCGCCCCCUGUGCGACGCUUUGUAUUGACUUCAAAGAUUUCACGGUAACACGUGUCGAGUUCAUUUUGUCUUCCUCUGUCAAAAUUCAUGGGGCACGUGCUGCGUAUAACCUAUGUUUACGAAUUACGCGUAAAUUUCGUUCCUAUGCGUCGAGACCUACGAGAGAAUAUCUGUGAAGAAGAAUUGAGGUUAUGGACUCGCCGGGAUAAGAAUAGAUAGUCAAUGAGACUUGAACGUUUUUAUAGGGAAUAUUUAUAAGAGUUUUUGGUUAAUUGUAAAUUUUCAACGAUUUUUAGUCACGGUUUAUAAAGUGCAGUGUUCGUUAGAAAAUAAUUAAAUCGUAUGUCGAAUAGCGGAGCGGAAACGGUCGAGCGUAACUAUACGUCAUUGGACCCAUAUUUGAGUGGUACGAAAGAGCGGGAAUAUUUGAACUCGUUUGGGAAUUAUUUAUCGAUCGAUACCAGUUGCUGACACUUUUGUAUCCGAAUGGGGAUACGUUCUUAUUUCGAACGAGAAUAACCACUCUCACUGUCCAGCCUUGAGUGUACGACCCGCUUACCGGAGAAAGUAAAGAAAUUACUUCUGCCAUACGGCUUUCGUUAUGCUUCGGGUGUCGACUUUCCAUCUCUUCGAUAUCAGUAAAGGAGAGUAACGAUUCCGAGAAAACUGGAACGAAUGUACGACAAUGAGUCAGGGAAAUACUGGUCCAGACAAAUUGAUGCUGCGUAUAGCUAUAUACAUCGGAGAAACGUGUAGAUGAAAUUUGGCUUGAUUCCUAAUUCUUGAAUUAUAUUAAAUCUACGUUCAUUCUCUU
Molecule: RNA transcript, 3153 nt
Organism: Cephus cinctus (wheat stem sawfly)
Lineage: Eukaryota; Metazoa; Arthropoda; Insecta; Hymenoptera; Cephidae
Exons: 2
Source: RefSeq, a predicted model, not a curated record